GCUAGUGUGGCUAACUGGUUAAAGCGUUGCCCUGAGCACCGAAGGGUCAUGGGUUCAAUUCCCAGUCAAGGGCA
Myotis lucifugus (little brown bat) is the source of this 74-nucleotide non-coding RNA. NCBI's taxonomy places the organism in Eukaryota, Metazoa, Chordata, Mammalia, Chiroptera, Vespertilionidae. The record is from Rfam.